UGGGGAAUCUUGGACAAUGGGGGCAACCCUGAUCCAGCCAUGCCGCGUGAGUGAUGAAGGCCUUAGGGUCGUAAAGCUCUUUCGCCUGUGAAGAUAAUGACGGUAGCAGGUAAAGAAACCCCGGCUAACUCCGUGCCAGCAGCCGCGGUAAUACGGAGGGGGUUAGCGUUGUUCGGAAUUACUGGGCGUAAAGCGCACGUAGGCGGACCAGAAAGUUGGGGGUGAAAUCCCGGGGGCUCAACCCCGGAACUGCCUCCAAAACUAUUGGUCUAGAGUUCGAGAGAGGUGAGUGGAAUUCCAAGUGUAGAGGUGAAAUUCGUAGAUAUUUGGAGGAACACCAGUGGCGAAGGCGGCUCACUGGCUCGAUACUGACGCUGAGGUGCGAAAGUGUGGGGAGCAAACAGGAUUAGAUACCCUGGUAGUCCACACCGUAAAACGAUGAAUGCCAGUCGUCGGGUAGCAUGCUAUUCGGUGACACACCUAACGGAUUAAGCAUUCC
This 499-nucleotide ribosomal RNA is filed under the name uncultured bacterium. RNAcentral describes it as "bacterial SSU rRNA". It matches the Rfam family "Bacterial small subunit ribosomal RNA", at positions 355 to 870 of the family's 1533-position model. The record is from RNAcentral.